This 491-nucleotide ribosomal RNA is filed under the name uncultured bacterium. RNAcentral's name for it is "partial 16S ribosomal RNA". It matches the Rfam family "Bacterial small subunit ribosomal RNA", at positions 29 to 507 of the family's 1533-position model. The record is from RNAcentral.
AGUGAACGCUGGCGGUAGGCCUAACACAUGCAAGUCGAACGGCAGCACAGUAAGAGCUUGCUCUUACGGGUGGCGAGUGGCGGACGGGUGAGGAAUACAUCGGAAUCUACUUUUUCGUGGGGGAUAACGUAGGGAAACUUACGCUAAUACCGCAUACGACCUACGGGUGAAAGCAGGGGAUCUUCGGACCUUGCGCGAUUGAAUGAGCCGAUGUCGGAUUAGCUAGUUGGCGGGGUAAAGGCCCACCAAGGCGACGAUCCGUAGCUGGUCUGAGAGGAUGACCGCCCCACCUGAACUGAGACACGGUCCAGACUCCUACGGGAGGCAGCAGUGGGGAAUAUUGGACAAUGGGCGCAAGCCUGAUCCAGCCAUACCGCGUGGGUGAAGAAGGCCUUCGGGUUGUAAAGCCCUUUUGUUGGGAAAGAAAAGCAGCAGGUUAAUACCCCGCUGUUCUGACGGUACCCAAAGAAUAAGCACCGGCUAACUUCGUG